This is a long non-coding RNA of Chenopodium quinoa (quinoa), 650 nucleotides long. RefSeq lists it as uncharacterized. NCBI's taxonomy places the organism in Eukaryota, Viridiplantae, Streptophyta, Magnoliopsida, Caryophyllales, Amaranthaceae. The transcript is spliced from 2 exons. The record is from RefSeq and is a predicted model, not a curated record.
ACGGCUAAAACCUUUCUCAUUCUUUCUCUCGCCGCUUUCACUCAUUCUCAACUUUCAGUCUUUCUCUCUCUUCUCUCUCUUAUUUUCAAUCUUUUGCCAUUAAAAUUUCUUGAAGCUUUAUCUCAAACAUUCUCAAGGUGAUACACCAAGUUCUCCGGAAAGUGCACCUCAAAGUCUAGCAGCUGCUAUGGUCUAUGGGGAGUCAAACCUAAUUUGACAGAUACCUUUAUUUGCCAUUGUUGGAACUUUGGAAGUAGUUUGGAACCUUGGAACUUUUUGACAUAUAUGCUUGUGGCUUUGAAGUUUGGAUUUGCAUUUCAUAUGUUUAUAUUGUUGAAUGUUACAGUUUAUUUUUUAAAAAAUAAUUACAUGUUAAUUUUAAAAAAUUACAGGUUUAAUGGUUUAUUGAAAAAGAUUACAUGUUAAGGAAAUUACCUGAUAAAAAAAAAAUUCAGGUUAAGGCAGGUUGAGUUCAGGUCAACCCGUUUAUAAACAAUUUGAGUACGGGUUUGAUUUUUUGACCUGUUUACCUAUUUAUGUAAACAGGUCGACCUGAACCCGACCCGACCUGUUUGCCAGCCCUAAUCACAUUAUAAUAUGUAUAUGUUAUUGGGUCAAUGAACUGAAUUUUUAUUGAUGAUGUUCGUUUG